Non-coding RNA from Salmo salar (Atlantic salmon), 58 nucleotides. The record is from Rfam. NCBI's taxonomy places the organism in Eukaryota, Metazoa, Chordata, Actinopteri, Salmoniformes, Salmonidae.
UGGCUCAAUUGGUGGAGCAUGGCACUUGCAAUGCCAGGGUUGUGGGUUUGAUUCCCAC